This 74-nucleotide transfer RNA is filed under the name Loxodonta africana (African savanna elephant). It matches the Rfam family "tRNA". Rfam says of the family: Transfer RNA (tRNA) molecules are approximately 80 nucleotides in length. Lineage: Eukaryota; Metazoa; Chordata; Mammalia; Proboscidea; Elephantidae. The record is from Rfam by way of RNAcentral.
CCCUGCGUGGUGCACACUGUUAAUGUGCUUGGCUGCUGACCAAAAGGUUGGUGGUUCAAGUCCACCUGGAGGCA